This 906-nucleotide ribosomal RNA is filed under the name Staphylococcus cohnii subsp. cohnii. RNAcentral describes it as "bacterial LSU rRNA". It matches the Rfam family "Bacterial large subunit ribosomal RNA", at positions 2020 to 2925 of the family's 2925-position model. Lineage: Bacteria; Bacillati; Bacillota; Bacilli; Caryophanales; Staphylococcaceae. The record is from RNAcentral.
CUCAACGAGAGACUCGGUGAAAUCAUAGUACCUGUGAAGAUGCAGGUUACCCGCGACAGGACGGAAAGACCCCGUGGAGCUUUACUGUAGUCUGAUAUUGAAAUUCGGUACAGCUUGUACAGGAUAGGUAGGAGCCUUAGAUACGUGAGCGCUAGCUUACGUGGAGGCGUUGGUGGGAUACUACCCUCGCUGUAUUGGAUUUCUAACCCGCACCAUUAAUCAUGGUGGGAGACAGUGUCAGAUGGACAGUUUGACUGGGGCGGUCGCCUCCUAAAGAGUAACGGAGGCGCUCAAAGGUUUCCUCAGAAUGGUUGGAAAUCAUUCAUAGAGUGUAAAGGCACAAGGAAGCUUGACUGCGAGACUUACAAGUCGAGCAGGGUCGAAAGACGGACUUAGUGAUCCGGUGGUUCCGCAUGGAAGGGCCAUCGCUCAACGGAUAAAAGCUACCCCGGGGAUAACAGGCUUAUCUCCCCCAAGAGUUCACAUCGACGGGGAGGUUUGGCACCUCGAUGUCGGCUCAUCGCAUCCUGGGGCUGUAGUCGGUCCCAAGGGUUGGGCUGUUCGCCCAUUAAAGCGGUACGCGAGCUGGGUUCAGAACGUCGUGAGACAGUUCGGUCCCUAUCCGUCGUGGGCGUAGGAAAUUUGAGAGGAGCUGUCCUUAGUACGAGAGGACCGGGAUGGACAUACCUCUGGUGUACCAGUUGUCGUGCCAACGGCAUCGCUGGGUAGCUAUGUAUGGACGGGAUAAGUGCUGAAAGCAUCUAAGCAUGAAGCCCCCCUCAAGAUGAGAUUUCCCAACUUCGGUUAUAAGAUCCCUCAAAGAUGAUGAGGUUAAUAGGUUCGAGGUGGAAGCAUAGCGAUAUGUGGAGCUGACGAAUACUAAUCGAUCGAAGACUUAAUCAAAUU